RNAcentral lists this ribosomal RNA (116 nucleotides) under Enterococcus faecium. RNAcentral's name for it is "partial 16S ribosomal RNA". It matches the Rfam family "Bacterial small subunit ribosomal RNA", at positions 1 to 101 of the family's 1533-position model. Lineage: Bacteria; Bacillati; Bacillota; Bacilli; Lactobacillales; Enterococcaceae. The record is from RNAcentral. RNAcentral also lists the same sequence under 1 other name.
UUUUAUGAGAGUUUGAUCCUGGCUCAGGACGAACGCUGGCGGCGUGCCUAAUACAUGCAAGUCGAACGCUUCUUUUUCCACCGGAGCUUGCUCCACCGGAAAAAGAGGAGUGGCGA